AAACGAAUUCUUUUCUGUUUGAUGUUACAACUUUCCUCAAAGACAUUAUUAUUUAUUCCACUUCUAAGCAUUGAUUUGUCCUUGAAAUCUGUGUAAUUUAUCCUUGAUAUGCAUGGGUGUUUUCUAAGUUUUCUUUUUUUAUUUCUAUGUGAAUGACUCGUAUAGAGCUUCGGACUUUUGAGUGGGUACCAGGCUUUUCAAUUUCACGGACCAAUGAGAGGGAAAACAAAAAAGUUAAGGACUAAAAUCGCGUUGCCAGCGUUUUAUUUUGCCAGGAGUAUAUAUUUGAAAAAAAAAAAAACUCCACCGUUUUCUAUCAUUGUCAUUUCAUAAAAGGACAUUUUAACAUCAAAACAAGGAAGUAAUCUUGCAAUAAAUGACAGUCUUUCAAGUGGAAUGCAAUUUUUUUUAAAGUGCUACAUUGUCCUUUUUGCCUGGAUCCAGUGGACAUCUCUCUAAAGACGUGUGAGAACUUCUGCCUUCAGAGCACAAUCUGUGUCCUCUUACCCGUUGUCUUUUAGCGCUUUCUGUUACCUUCAUUUCGUCAAGGUUGUUCCUCCCGGGCAUUUCCCCUCGCACUCCAGCAGCAUUCGAAGUCCUUUCCCUCUGGCCCUGGCUUCACUGCGACUCAGGAGGACCUUGACCGUCAGUCCUGUGUGGCUGGAUGUCAUAGGAGCCAGUAGUGGGAAAGCCCAGCAGAGGUGGCAGCUGUUAGUGCUGAGGAGACAGAGCAGCUGUUCGCUAUCGUUCCAGAGCUGUCUCAUCAUUUGUUGUGCACAAAGGUGGCUUUACAAUUCUCCAUGCCCGUCCUUCUCCGCCAGCCUCGGAGCACCCAAUGCCUUUCAUCUUGGUGCCGUGACUCAAGGUCUUGGCCAUUUGUCUUUCUUUCCUUCAGGGCUUUUAAUAGACUUUUUGUGUCAUAGACUGGAGUGGUUCAAUGUCAAAUACAAAACGCAAGCCUCCAGAGAACAAGGAUUGCUGCCCUUUUGGCUUUGAUCAGAUUUUCUUUCCGAAUUCCAAGUACAGCCUCUGCGCAUCUGGGAAGAAUAUGAAGAGUCUGGUGUGGCUGGGCUUUCCUCUCUGCACCCUCCAUUUCAGUCCCAUCCACCUUUCUUCCUGAGAAAGGCUCGUGGCUUUGUGCUGUUGUUUGCUCUUCCUCCAGGGGGCAAGUAAUCUGAUAAAACCACUCACAGUAAGGGGCUAGAAGCAUAAUUUCCCUGCUGCCAGAUGUUCUUACACACUAUGAAGUUGAAAAAAGAACUCAGUUUUGGAGUUGAAGGCGUUAAUUCCAGCCCUGGCUGUAGUUGUGAUGGGCUUGAACAAUUGAUACAGUUUCGGGGAGAUUCUGUUUCUUCGUCAACAAAACGAGGCUGAUAAUCAUAUCUAUCUCCCAGGCUUCUUCCUGUUGUUCAGUCACCAAGUUGUGUCCAACUCUUUGUGACCCCCUGGACUGCAGCAUGCCAGGCCUCCCUGUCCCUCACUGUCUCCUGGAGUUUGCUCAAACCUGUGUCAGAGGCUUGAUGUCAAAAUUAAAUGUGAAUGUGAGCAGUCAAAAUACUUUAUAAUCUGAAAAGUGUUUUGAUGAUUUGUUAGUGUUUUCCUUGGGUUUGUAAAUAGUAGAAAACUACUUGAGCUAGCUUGAGUAAGGAUACUGGGUUUGACCAAGUCUUAAGUAAGGCAAGAUUGAGGUGCUGUGGGAAGCCAGGCAGUUCUCUUUCCCCACAUAUGGCAGAUCCUUCUAGUGUUCAGCAAUAUCUGGUUCUGGUCUUCUUCAUAGACACUCAGUGAAGCUGUAUUUCCUAGCCCUACUUCCCUCUAGGUAGAACCAUGUGAUUGAGUUCUGCCAGCAGAUUGUGGGAAGAAAUGAUAUAUGCCUCUUCUAGUCCUGGAAACAAAAUGGCCCACGUGCUGGGAUGGGAUAGGAUGAUGCCCAGGGGAUCUUGAAACCACAACAUUGUGGAGACAUGAGAUGGUAUGAGAGGGUUCUGGGUCCCCGAGUCACCACGUGGAGAGAACUGCAUGGGGGAGCCGCCCAGUCAUUAGUAUUGGACUUUGUGUGAGCAAGAGAUAAACUCGUAUUAUGUGAGGUCACUGAGAUUUGGGAUCGUUUCUUACAGUAGUUGGUCCACCUAAUACACCAUAUCUUGAGUCCACUUCCCCUUGCCACUUUAUCGUUUAUCUUCCUUGCCACACACCGUCUUUCUCUGCCUUGUUACUCAUCGUGGUGAAUAAUGGCCACCAUCAAAAGCAGCUAAGUUGACCCCUCUUCCAUUCAAGAGAACAGCUUGACUGCAGCUAAAAACACUUAUUUCAUAUUUCAAAUUCCUUCAAGAGAACUGAGUCCAACUGGUAUUGGAUGCUGAUCCUGGUCCAAUCCAUAUGUGACAUCUAUGAGGAUAAGGAGGAGGGGCAAUUUUCAGAAAAGCAGUGCUUGGCAAACAGAUCCAAACAUAUCUACCAACGUGUUCUAUACUUGCUGUUAACAUUUUAAGAAGAGGAACACGGGAAGGGUGCAGACAUACUUUUCUUCUGAUACACCCCUGAAAGAAUGAGUCUCUAAGGAAGCUUGGCUCUUCAGUCAUCGGUAAUGGUUUACUUUACACUGGGUGGUGCUUCCCAGUUGCCCGCAAGCUAUGUUGGUUCAAUGUAACAAUAUUGCCUGUAUGCAGUGAGGCGCUGGUUAGCGGCUGUAUCUUCUGGCUCAUGGGCUACCCCAGGCAUGAUGACCACACUCGUACCUGCAGGAGGUGAGAGGUGGGAGUCACUAUCUGGUGCGUGGGUGCUUCAAGUGGAAUGAAGCAAAGUCCAUAAAGUGACCUUGGGAUGGUGGCGUAAAAGAUGAGAGAAGAAUAGGAGUUUGAUUGCUUCCAAAGCACAGAAUGAAUGUCACAAACAAAAAGGCAGCCACAGAAAUGUCUGCUUUUCCGUGUAAAUAAUUUCCCCAUCAAUGUCACCUCCCACCACCUAAAAGUCGAGGUUCUAAGCAUGAUGAAAAGGCCCUUGGUGAAUGGGCUCUCUCAGCCUGAUGCCCCAAUGGGUCAUCACACACUCCAUCUGCCAGCCUCCAACCAGACUGGACCAUGAGCAUUUCCCCAAAAAAGGGCCGUGUUUUCUGAAGCCUCAGUUUUCAGUGUAUGCUUUCUUCUUUUCCUGCAAUACCCACUUUCCCGUUCCUGCAAAGAAUCCUGUCUAGUGUCAGGACUCAGCUCUAGCACACCUUCCAGGACUAGCAGCCUAUAGGUCAGGUUAAGCCAUUUAUUUUUCCUGUUCCAUUGUAAUAUCUGAAUGUGCUUUGUGUUUUUGAGCAUUUUUUUUUUUCUCUCUCUAACUGCAAAGAUAAAAAAAAAAAAGUUAAUGUUACCAACUUUGGAAAGUCCAAAUAAGCACAAAAAAGAAAAUAAAAAUCUCCUGUUAUCCCACCCUUCAGGGGGAAUAUAUAUGCAGUGCACAUGCGCACACUCACACACGCACACCCAACACACAAUACAUGUACAUAUACUUUCCAAAAAAUUUUUGCUUUUGUGUUUGCUUUUUCCUGUUAACAAAUAUAUCAUGAAGAAUUACCUAUAUGUUUAUAAUUUUUAAUGAAUGGUUAAUAACCUGUGGAUACCCCAUAGUUUAUUUGAUGAAACUUAUUGUUGGAUGUUUAUGAUUGUUUUACAUUUUUCACUGUAAUAGAUAAUCCUGGGAUGAAUAACCUUGGAUGUAAAUCCUUGCAUACCUCUCUGCUUAUUUCUUUAGGGUAAAAACCUAGAAAGAGAGUUAUUGGGUCAAGGAGUGUGCAAACAAAAUCCAAAGGCAAGCCUGCAGAGAGAAUGACCGUCUUGGGAGCCUUUUCAGAAGAGGAAAUCAUUCCCGGGAACGCUUCUCCCCAGAUCAUUACUCUCUCUGUUUCAGGGACAGAAGUGCAUGCCAUGUAUAUGCAGAAACCAGGUACUGGCAACGGUAGCAAGACUACUACCUUUGCUUAGACCACCCGGAUGUAUCCUAUCACAUCCAAUAUUCAAAAAAUGGCCUUUUGUUAUUAAGAAAGAUUUAAGAGUAACUUUUAUUUCACAUAUUGCACACAUACUCAUAUCCUUUCAAAAGUGACUGUGUUUUACUUUCUGAACCUUACAGAGCACAAAGCUUUGUCUGCCAUAACAUCAGCUCCAGAUAGAGGCUUGUCAGAUGAAUGAAUGCCUACAUGUAUAAGUGCCUAUACACAGUUUGGUGUGUAUUUUGUAAUUGUGAUUAAGAACAGGCGGGAGAGUCGUUCACCAAACAGUUUUCCUCUAGAGGCUGGAUAGUUGAGGGAUAUAGACUUAAGGCAGCCUGGGAACAGAAUAAGAGAUUUUCCCAGGACAUAGCAGGCAGUCACUUCUAAAACUCAGCUUACUUUUCUAUUAGUUUAAUGUAUUUUCCAUUGGCUAGCUUUUUUUUUGAUUGCCAGGUAUCUUUCUAUUUUACAUCCAUUUAAAAACAAACAGAUAAAUAUUAACUAUUAAAUGGCAAUUAAAACUUUAACCACAAUGAACAUAUCCAUAAGAAAACUGACCAAGAAUCUCUGGCCACUGGCUAACUUUUAAAUCAGUUUUACACUAACCAUUACAGCGCCAUCCUUAUUUAAGCUAAAAGACCACUGAUAAGCUAUGGAGAAAAAUACCCAUCACCUGGAGAAAUAAAACAACCCAGAUAUUAGUUACAAAAUUGUUCACCUGUGAAUGAGUCCUAAUAUAAUUAUUAUGAGAAUGAAUUUGCAGUUAGAAGUUGUCAUGGUCUCUUAAGGCUAGAGUUAUAGAACUCUGGUGGCAAUAGAAAGAAAUAUCAGUCUAUUGUUGAAGAAUUAGUAUGGUAAGUCAUCAAUUUGAGUCCUGGAGUUAAUGGGAACCGAAUAAGUGUUUUUGCGUAGGGGGUAUUUCUGUAAGCUUCUUUUGACAGUGGAAGGGUUGGACAUUUGUCUUCUAAACCCAGGACCUUGAAUAAGAAAAGUGCCCAGUUUUUAAAUUUCAUAAUUAAAAAUAAAAAAGGAUUUUUGAAAUAUGGGGAGAGAAGUUAAGAACUGCCUUCUAUGGAGCCGUAAGUAAAUGAACAGGGCUUCCUUUUUUAUGUGGUUGAUGAUGUCCAUCACGUGGUCAUAUAUCAGCAUCAUCUCCAAAAUGAUGGAUAAUUAUGCAUCUUUUGGUCCAUCAAUAACCAACUACUUGGUUAUGUUAAUGUAACCAACCUUCAUGUGAAAACAAUAACUUAUAUUUGUAAUUAUUGAUAGUGCUAUUAAAUUGGUUUUUAUAGUAAUUUAUCUAAAUCUAACAGCUUAUGUUUCUGGUCUGCUUUAAAAAAAAAAACCAUAGAGAAUGAAUGCAUCAAAUCACUUUCUUAGUUUUACUGGGAUUUUUCAAUAAUUAAACACUUGAAAUGACUUUUGCAUGAAGGAGAUGUGGACUGUUCAAGGCUGUGUAAUUGAUUAUGAAAUCCAAUAAUCCUCUAUCAUCCAAACAUGAGAGCGAGCAAUGACAAGCUGAUGAGAAUUAACGAAGUGAAUUAUGAAGUGUUAAUUUUACAACUCAUUGGCACUCAGUUGUGUGAAAAGAUCAUAUAAAUGUGCUGGUAAGAAAAACGCCGUGUGAUUCUGCCACCACUGCCUUCUCCCUGUCUCACUCAAACACAAAUCUGAGCAAUGGCUAGUAGUCCCCAGAGCCCCAGGCUCACUUUGCAAUUAUGUCCAGAGGUGGAGGACGAAGUUUGGACUGAUGUUAUGGACUGAACAUUUGUAUGUCCCUCCUCCUCCACCACCGCUCCCAAAUUCAUAUGUUGAAGCCCUAACCUUCAACGUCAAGGUAGUUAGAGAAGGGGCCUCUGAGUUAGGUUCGCUCUUGAAGGUGGAUUUUCAUGAUGGGAUCAGUGGCCUUAUAAGAAGAGAAAGAGACAACAGAGCUCCCUGUCAUGUGAAGACACAAUGAAAAGGCAGCCAGGAGUAGAGCGCCCACCUGGAAUCAAACUGGCCAGCACCUUGAUUUUGGACUUCCUGGCUUCCAGAACUGUGAGAAAUAAAUGUCGGGGGUUUAAGGCACCCAGGCUACAGUAUUUCGUUAUGGCAGUCUGGGCUAAGACAGACUGAGAUCUAGGCUUCUGAGGAUUUGAUAAACAAAUUAGACUUCUCAGGUGUAUUGUUUCAUGAUUAUACCUUUCUUUGUAUUAAUUUCAUUCCUUUUUAUUAACAACCUUAUCACACUUCAGCAUUUACAGAUAUGCAAUUUGACUUUAUUACUUUAUUGUGCAAAUAUUUAUUAAACAUAUACUAAUGUAGCCAUCUGGCCUUUAGCUUUGAAUAAGAUAUGAAGGUAACUAAGCAUCAGUUCAGUUCAGUUCAGUCGCUCAGUUGUGUCCGACUCUUUGCGACCUCAUGAAUUGCAGCACGCCAGGCCUCCCUGUCCAUCACCAACUCCCGGAGUUCACUCAGACUCACGUCCAUCGAGUUGGUGAUGUCAUCCAGCCAUCUCAUCCUCUGUCGUCCCCUUCUCCUCCUGCCCCCAAUCCCUCCCAGCAUCAGAGUCUUUUCCAAUGAGUCAGCUCUUCAUAUGAGGUGGCCAAAGUAUUGGAGUUUCAACUUCAGCAUCAGUCCUUCCAAAGAACACCCAGGAUUGGUCUCCUUUAGGAUGGACUGGUUGGAUCUCCUUACAGUCCAAGGGACUCUCAAGAGUCUUCUCCAACACCACAGUUCAAAAGCAUCAAUUCUUCGGCGCUCAGCUUUCUUUACAGUCCAAUUCUCACAUCCAUACAUGACUACUGGAAAAACUAUAGCCUUGACUAGAUGGACCUUUGUUGGCGAACUAAUGUCUCUGCUUUUUAAUAUGCUAUCUAGGUUGGUCAUAACUUUCCUUCCAAGGAGUAAGCAUCUCUUUAUUUCAGUCCCUGCCAUUGAGAAUCUAACAGUUUGCAUAAAAGGAUAACUGAGUCAUAAAAGCAUAACUAACAAUAGAGGACUGAGCUAGAUCUGUGGGAACCCAGGGAGUGAGACUUCCAGAGGAUUCCAGGAAGGCUUGCAAGAGGGGUGACUUUUGAGUUUUAGUAAAUAAUAAAAAUGCAUGUGAAAAUUAACACUCUAAAUUAUGAAACUUAUUAAACAUACAGAAAACACAGAAAAUACUAUCACAAACAUCUGUAUAUCCAUUACUCAAAUGAAAUACAAGUAAGUUUUGUUAUAGAUAGCUCCCCUUCACUCUUCUUUUUUAACUUUUAGAAAUAAAAUGCAGUAGUUACAGAUUAAGUUCCAUCCUUUAUCCCUUUAUUUUUUUCCUUAUCCAGAAGUAACACUAUCUGAAAUUGAUGAGUGUCAUUAUACAUAUUUUGGAAUGCUUACUACAUAGGCGAGUAUGUAUACAUAGAACAGUUAUAUAUAUGUUUUAAAUGCACUUCAUAGUGUUCUUCUAUAAUUUGCCAUCUUGAUGUUAGCACAUGUUUUUGAGAUUUAGUCACUUGUGGAUAGGUUAUUCUUCUACUUUUUCGGGGAGUGCUAUGAAUCAGUAGUAUAAUUAACUUUCUUAUAAAAAUCUCAUAUGCAUUUGAAAGAGUAUUCUUCAGCUGCCUGGAAAUGGAGCUUUUAAACACCAUUUUAAAAGAAAUGCCCAGACUACAUUUUAAUCACUUCAAGAAAGUGUUGUUCUAACUCACAGAAUUACUUCAUCACUUGAACACAAACUGCGAUAUGAAUCUUGCUGGUAACAAAAUAACACCAUCAUUAUUUAUGGAGACUUCCUAUAUGGCAGGUGCUGUUAACAUGUGGUACACAGGAAUUACUUCUUUCAUCGUUUAAACUUCACCUGUUCUUUUUUUUUUAAUUUCAACUUUAUGUAACCCAAAGCUUUAAUUUUAAUAAAGUCCAACUUAAUCCAAAUUUUUAUGGAUCAUACUUUUUAAAAAUUAUCACUAUAGCAUAAAAGUUACUACCUUAAUCAUUUUUAAGUAUACAGUACAGUAGUGUUAAUUAUAAGGAUAUUGUUGUGCAACACAUGUCUAGAGCUUUUUCAUCCUGCAAAACUAAAACUCUGUACCCGUUGAACAACAGCUCCCGGUUUCCCCUCCUCAGCAGCCCUCCAAAAGGACGUGCACCUUUCUGUUCCUAUGCGUUUGACUACAUUUAGAUACAUCAGACUCUAAACAAGACCGGGAGCUGACUGUGGCUCAGAUCAUGAACUCCUUAUUGCCAAAUUCAGACUUAAAUUGAAGCAAUUAGGGAAGACCACUAGACCAUUCAGGUAUGACUAAAUCAAAUAGCUUACGAUUAAACAGUGGAAGUGACAAAUAGAUUCAAGGGAUUAGAUCUGAUAGACAGAGUGCCUGAAGAACUAUGGACAGAGGUUCAUGACAUUGUACAGGAGGCAAGGAUCAAGACCAUCCCCCCAAAAAAGAAACGCAAAAAGGCAAAAUGGUUGUCUAAGGAGGCCUUACAAAUAACUGAGAAAAGAAGAGAAGCUAAAGGCAAAGGAGAAAGGAAAGAUAUUCCCAUUUGAAUGCAGAGUUCCAAAGAAUAGCAAGGAGAGAUAAGAAAGCUUUCCUCAGUGAUCAAUGCAAAGAAAUAGAGGAAAACAACAGAAUGGGAAAGACUAGAGAUCUCGUCAAGAAAAUUAGAGAUACCAAGGGAACACUUCAUGUAAAGAUGGGCACAAUAAAGGACAGAAAUGGUAUGGACCUAACAGCAGGAGAGGAUAUUAAGAAGAGGUGGCAAGAAUACACAAAAGAACUAUACAAAAAAGAUCUUCAUGACCCAGAUAACCACGAUGGUGUGAUCACUCACCCAAAGCCAGACAUCCUGGAAUGAGAAGUCAAGUGUGCCUUAGGAAGCAUCACUACGAACAAAGCUAAUGGAGGUGGUGGAAUUCCAGUUGAGCUAUUUCAAAUCCUGAAGAUGAUGCUGUGAAAGUGCUGCACUCAAUAUGCCAGCAAAUGUGGAAAACUCAGCAGUGGCCACAGGACUGGAAAAGGUCAGUUUUCAUUGCAAUCCCAAAGAAAGGCAAUGCCAAAGAAUGCUCAAACUACCGCACAAUUGCACUCAUCUCACACCCUAGCAAAGUAAUACUCAAAAUUCUCCAAGCCAGGCUUCAACAAUACAUGAACCAUGAACUUCCAGAUGUUCAAGCUGGAUUUAGAAAAGGCAGAGGAACCAGAGAUCAAAUUGCCAACAUCCGUUGGAUCAUUGAAAAAACAAGAGAGUUCCAGAAAAACAUCUACUUCUGCUUUAUUGACUAUGCCAGAGCCUUUGACUGUGUGGAUCACAGCAAACUGUGGAAAAUUCUUAAAGAGAUGGGAAUACCAGAGCACCUGACCUGCCCCUUAAGAAACCUAUAUGCAGGUCAGGAAGCAACAGUUAGAACUGGACAUGGAACAACAGACUGGUUCCAAAUAGGAAAAGGAGUAUGUCAAGGCUGUAUAUUGUCACCCUGCUGAUUUAACUUAUAUGCAGAGUACAUCAUGAGAAAUGCUGGGCUGAAUGAAACACAAGCUGGAAUCAAGAUUGCCUGGAGAAAUAUCAGUAACCUCAGAUAUGCAGAUGACACCACCCUUAUAGCAGAAAGUGAACAAGAAUUAAAGAGCUUCUUGAUGAAAGUGAAGAAGUUGGCUUAAAACUCCACACUCAGAAAAUUAAGAUCAUAGCAUCCGGUCCCAUCACGUCAUGGCAAAUAUAUGGGAAAACAGUGGAAACAGUGACAGAUUUUGGUUUUUUGGGCUCCAAAAUCACUGCAGAUGGUGACUGCAGCCAUGAAAUUAAAAGAAACUUGUUCCUUGGAAGAAAAGUUAUGACCAACGUAGACAGCAUAUUAAAAAGCAGAGACAUUACUUUGCCAACAAAGGUCCAUCUAGUCAAAGGUAAGGUUUUUCCAGUAGUCAUGUAUGGAUGUGAGAGUUGGAAUAUAAAGAAAGCUGAUCACUGAAGAAUUGAUGCUUUUGAACUGUGGUGCUGAAGAAGACUAUUGAGAGUCCCUUGGACUGCAAGGAUAUCCAACCAGUCCAUCCUAAAAGAAAUCAGUCCUGACUAUUCAUUGGAAGGACUGAUGCUGAAUCUGAAGCUCCAGUACUUUGGCCAUCUGAUGCUAAGAACAGAAUCAUUUGAAAAGAGCCUGAUGCUGGGAAGGAUUGAAGGUGGGAGGAGAAGGGGACGAUACAGGAUGAGAUGGUUGGAUCACAUCACCAACUCAAUGGACAUGAGUUUGAGUAAGCUCCAGGAGUUGGUGAUGGACAGGGAGGCCUGGCAUGCUGCAGUCCAUGGGGUCACAAAGAGUCAAACAGAACUGAGUGACUGAACUGAACUGACCUAGACUCUAAGCUCUAAAAGACAGAGAUCAUAUCUCUCUUUCAGUCUAAACACCCUAGAUGAUUUUUAUCACAUGCUCAGUAAAAACCAAUUGCUGUCAAAUUUUGAUAAAUUGCAGUAUCCUGGUAUUAUCAGUCAGUAUAAAAACUUGUACCAUGACAUUUUAGAUAUCUAGAAAUGUUGUUGAGAUAUGAAAUUAGUAUGCAGUAAUUUGGAUAACAAUGUAUUUGGCUCUUUUAUUUUUUUAUAUUUAUAUUUAUUUAUUUAUUUAUUUUUUGGCUGCACGGGUCUUCAUUGCUGCACCAUUUUCUCCCAUUCUCUAGUCGUGGUGUGCAGGGGAUACGCUCUAGUUGCGGUGUGUGAGCUUCUCAUUGUGGUGACUUCUUUGUUGCAGAGCACAGGUUCUAGGGCAUGUGGGCUUCAGUAGUUGUGGAGUGAAGUUUUAGCAGUUGUGGUUUGCUGACUCUAAAACGCAAGCUCCAUAGUUGUGGCAUUGUGGAGCAUGGGUUUAGUUGCUUUGUGGCAUAUAGAAUCUUCCUGGACCAGGGAUCAGGUCCAUGUUUCCUGUAUCAGUUGGUAGAUUCUUGCUUUACAAUGUUGUG
Bos taurus (domestic cattle) is the source of this 10890-nucleotide long non-coding RNA. Lineage: Eukaryota; Metazoa; Chordata; Mammalia; Artiodactyla; Bovidae. The record is from Ensembl.